This 253-nucleotide ribosomal RNA is filed under the name uncultured bacterium. RNAcentral describes it as "partial 16S ribosomal RNA". It matches the Rfam family "Bacterial small subunit ribosomal RNA", at positions 524 to 776 of the family's 1533-position model. The record is from RNAcentral.
UACGUAGGUGGCAAGCGUUGUCCGGAUUUAUUGGGUUUAAAGGGUGCGUAGGCGGUCUUCUAAGUCAGUUGUGAAAUACUUCAGCUUAACUGGAGAGGUGCAAUUGAUACUGGAAGACUUGAGUACUGAUGAGGUAGGCGGAAUGGACGGUGUAGCGGUGAAAUGCUUAGAUAUCGUCCAGAACACCGAUAGCAAAGGCAGCUUACUAAGGAGUAACUGACGCUGAGGCACGAAAGUGUGGGGAUCAAACAGG